Molecule: ribosomal RNA, 497 nt
Filed under: uncultured bacterium
Lineage: Bacteria
Description: partial 16S ribosomal RNA
Rfam family: Bacterial small subunit ribosomal RNA
Source: RNAcentral
GACGAACGCUGGCGGCGUGCCUAAUACAUGCAAGUAGAACGCUGAAGAGAGGAGCUUGCUCUUCUUGGAUGAGUUGCGAACGGGUGAGUAACGCGUAGGUAACCUGCCUUGUAGCGGGGGAUAACUAUUGGAAACGAUAGCUAAUACCGCAUAACAAUGGAUGACACAUGUCAUUUAUUUGAAAGGGGCAAUUGCUCCACUACAAGAUGGACCUGCGUUGUAUUAGCUAGUAGGUGAGGUAAUGGCUCACCUAGGCGACGAUACAUAGCCGACCUGAGAGGGUGAUCGGCCACACUGGGACUGAGACACGGCCCAGACGCCUACGGGAGGCAGCAGGAGGGAAUCUUCGGCAAUGGGGACAACCCUGACCGAGCAACGCCGCGUGAGUGAAGAAGGUUUUCGGAUCGUAAAGCUCUGUUGUAAGUCAAGAACGGGUGUGAGAGUGGAAAGUUCACACUGUGACGGUAGCUUACCAGAAAGGGACGGCUAACUACGUG